UACGUAGGGACCGAGCGUUGUCCGGAUUUAUUGGGCGUAAAGAGCGUGUAGGCGGCCAGGUAGGUCAGCUGUGAAAACUCGAGGCUCAACCUCGAGACGUCGGUUGAAACCACCUGGCUAGAGUGCGUUCGGGGCAGAGGGAAUUCCUGGUGUAGCGGUGAAAUGCGUAGAGAUCAGGAAGAACACCGGUGGCGAAAGCGCUCUGCUAGGCCGCAACUGACACUCAUGGACGAAAGCUAGGGGAGCGAAUGGG
RNAcentral lists this ribosomal RNA (253 nucleotides) under uncultured bacterium. RNAcentral describes it as "partial 16S ribosomal RNA". It matches the Rfam family "Bacterial small subunit ribosomal RNA", at positions 524 to 776 of the family's 1533-position model. The record is from RNAcentral.